UGAGCAAUCUGCCCUUCUCAUCGGAAUAAGCGUUGGAAACGACGUCUAAUGCCGAAUACGACCUCCUUUCGCAUGAUCGGAGGUGGAAAGCUCCGGCGGAGAAGGAUGAGCUCGCGGCCUAUCAGCUAGUUGGUGUGGGUAAUGGCCCACCAAGGCGACGACGGGUAGCUGGUCUGAGAGGAUGGCCAGCCACAUUGGGACUGAGACACGGCCCAGAUCCUACGGG
This 226-nucleotide ribosomal RNA is filed under the name uncultured bacterium. RNAcentral's name for it is "partial 16S ribosomal RNA". It matches the Rfam family "Bacterial small subunit ribosomal RNA", at positions 118 to 345 of the family's 1533-position model. The record is from RNAcentral.